GACAAUGUAGCAUAGUGGUUUGACUGUUAGACUACAACUCUAGAGACCAGGAUUUGAUUCCCAGCUUAGCCU
Non-coding RNA from Phrynosoma platyrhinos (Desert horned lizard), 72 nucleotides. The record is from the annotation of a GenBank genome assembly. NCBI's taxonomy places the organism in Eukaryota, Metazoa, Chordata, Lepidosauria, Squamata, Phrynosomatidae.